RNAcentral lists this ribosomal RNA (253 nucleotides) under uncultured bacterium. Its description in RNAcentral is "partial 16S ribosomal RNA". It matches the Rfam family "Bacterial small subunit ribosomal RNA", at positions 524 to 776 of the family's 1533-position model. The record is from RNAcentral.
UACGUAGGGUGCAAGCGUUGUCCGGAAUUAUUGGGCGUAAAGAGCUCGUAGGCGGUUUGUCGCGUCGGCUGUGAAAACUCGGGGCUCAACCCCGAGCCUGCAGUCGAUACGGGCAGACUAGAGUGCGGUAGGGGAGACUGGAAUUCCUGGUGUAGCGGUGAAAUGCGCAGAUAUCAGGAGGAACACCGGUGGCGAAGGCGGGUCUCUGGGCCGUAACUGACGCUGAGGAACGAAAGCCAGGGGAGCGAAAGGG